RNAcentral lists this long non-coding RNA (1124 nucleotides) under Olea europaea subsp. europaea. The record is from RNAcentral. Lineage: Eukaryota; Viridiplantae; Streptophyta; Magnoliopsida; Lamiales; Oleaceae.
CGCAUUUAUUUUAGGAUCAAUAUUCAAUUUUGUUUUUAUAUUCUCGUAUAAUUGUAAAGAACAGCAAGCAACUCCCCCUUUUGAUUUCCCUCUCAAGAAUUCACUUACAAAGUUGAGUACAAGGUUCGAUCCAUCUUGAUUUCGACAAAAGGUACGUCUUGGAUUAGAUUUUGUCGCUUGAUAUAUUUUUUAAAUGAAUUAAAUGAAUAAUUUGUAGAAUAAUUUUCACUCUUUUCUCUUUGUGGUUAGCCAAAUAAUAAUUUUUGAUUUAAUCGGGAUUAAUUUGGCCUUCUUUGAUUGAUCAUAAUAAUACUAUUUAAAUUAUCAGCAUAAAAUUGCGCUUUUGUGAGUAAAUAGGUUUUGGAAAAUUAACCUGAUUUAAAUUUUAAAACCUUUUAUCAAAUACUAUGUACCAGGAAUAAGUUUUAACAGUAAUCUAAGUUUUAAAGAUAUAGAUAAAUAAUAUUUUCUAUUUAGUGGUUAGAAAUCAUGAAUAAAAAAUUGAAAUUCAGAAAAGAUUAUUUAAUUAUAUUUAGGUAAUGGUAUUGAAGAUUUGAGUUAGAAAUAUAGAUAUUUAUGCCUCCUAAAUUGGUUGAUUAAAAAUUUUUCAGUAAGAAAUUUUUGUUACUAUUACUCUCACGUUUAAGAAUUAAUUUGAUUGUUGCGUGUACUAACAAUGAAGAAUGGUUCAUUAGUGUUUUUUGAUCAAGUGCAGGAGAGUACAUAAGCAAGAUUUUAAGAUGGAGUAUGUGUUCUAUAUAUCAUUCCCAGUUAUCCUCAUCAUCUUAAUCGUAGCCAUCGCUUGCUUCGUGUUUGGUAGGGUUAGGGGUCGACAACAAUCGGCCCAACUUCCUCAGUACUAUGGUCCACCUGCACCCGCACCUCCCAAGUAGAAUUAAUUCUACUUCUCUUAAUAUGCUUUUGUAAUAAAACACAUACUUGAGGUUCUCUAGCAUUUUUCUUUUCCCCUUUUCUAUUAAAAGAAUGGACGGGGUGUUAUAUUGCGUGAUACCAGCUUCGUGAAUUCAAGAAAUUCGGACAUAAGAUCAUGUAGUUGCUUUCAAAAGAGAUGUUUUAGAUUUUAAUGAAAGAAUUCAAAAUACUAAGUACAUACAAUAUCUGAG